Molecule: ribosomal RNA, 400 nt
Filed under: uncultured bacterium
Lineage: Bacteria
Description: bacterial SSU rRNA
Rfam family: Bacterial small subunit ribosomal RNA
Source: RNAcentral
UGGGGAAUAUUGCACAAUGGGCGAAAGCCUGAUGCAGCAACGCCGCGUGGAGGAUGACACAUUUCGGUGCGUAAACUCCUUUUAUAUGGAAAGAUUAUGACGGUACCAUAUGAAUAAGCACCGGCUAACUCCGUGCCAGCAGCCGCGGUAAUACGGAGGGUGCAAGCGUUACUCGGAAUCACUGGGCGUAAAGAGCAUGUAGGCUGUCUUGUAAGUCAGAUGUGAAAUCCAAUGGCUCAACCAUUGAACUGCAUUUGAAACUACUUGACUAGAGUACUGAAGGGGCAGAUGGAAUUUCCAGUGUAGGGGUAAAAUCCGUAGAUAUUGGAAGGAAUACCGAUAGUGAAGACGAUCUGCUGGGAAGUUACUGACGCUGAGAUGCGAAAGCGUGGGGAGCAAA